CACGUAGGGUGCGAGCGUUGUCCGGAAUUAUUGGGCGUAAAGAGCUCGUAGGCGGUCUGUUGCGUCGGCUGUGAAAACCCGGGGCUCAACUCCGGGCCUGCAGCCGAUACGGGCAGACUAGAGUUCGGCAGGGGAGACUGGAAUUCCUGGUGUAGCGGUGAAAUGCGCAGAUAUCAGGAGGAACACCAGUGGCGAAGGCGGUGCUCUGGGCCGGAACUGACGCUGAUGAGCGAAAGCGUGGGGAGCAAACAGG
Molecule: ribosomal RNA, 253 nt
Filed under: uncultured bacterium
Lineage: Bacteria
Description: partial 16S ribosomal RNA
Rfam family: Bacterial small subunit ribosomal RNA
Source: RNAcentral